This 196-nucleotide ribosomal RNA is filed under the name uncultured bacterium. RNAcentral's name for it is "partial 16S ribosomal RNA". It matches the Rfam family "Bacterial small subunit ribosomal RNA", at positions 326 to 539 of the family's 1533-position model. The record is from RNAcentral.
ACGCUCGACACCACGGAGGCAGCAGUGGGGAAUAUUGCACAAUGGGGGAAACCCUGAUGCAGCGACGCCGCGUGGAGGAAGAAGGUCUUCGGAUUGUAAACUCCUGUUGUUGGGGAAAAAGAGGAUGGUACCCAACAAGGAAGUGACGGCUAACUACGUGCUAGCAGCCGCGGUAAUCUGAGCGGGCUGGCAAGGC